UCAACCCUCGAGCCCUCGUGGCCCGGCGUUGGGGCCCUACGUCUGUAGGCCCUGAAAAGCAGUGGCGGUCCCGCGUGGCCCUCUCCUUUGCGUAGUAGCAUUAGCCUCGCAUCGGGAGCCCGUGGGCGCUAGCCUCUAAACCCCCAUCAAGCCCGCUCCGGCGGCACAA
This 169-nucleotide unclassified non-coding RNA is filed under the name uncultured Sordariomycetes. RNAcentral describes it as "sequence contains ITS2". Lineage: Eukaryota; Fungi; Ascomycota; Sordariomycetes. The record is from RNAcentral.